This 627-nucleotide ribosomal RNA is filed under the name Triticum aestivum (bread wheat). RNAcentral's name for it is "partial small subunit ribosomal RNA". The record is from RNAcentral. Lineage: Eukaryota; Viridiplantae; Streptophyta; Magnoliopsida; Poales; Poaceae.
AUGGGCAAGGACUGCGGCAACCACGGCGACGACCACCUCCGGAACGGCUGCCGGCGCCUCCUGGCCGUGCUCCUGGUCCUGGCCUUCAUCGUCGCCAUCAUCACCCUCAUCGUCUACUUGGUGCUCCGCCCCACCCACCCGCGCUUUUUCCUCCAGGACGCCUCCCUCCGGCAGCUCAACCUCUCCAACUCCUCGGGCCUCCUCUCCACCUCCAUCCAGGUCACCGUCGCCUCCCGCAACCCCAACGACCGCGUCGGUGUCUACUACGACCGCCUCGACGUCUACGCCUCCUACAAGUACCAGCAGAUCACCGUCGCCGCCUCGCUCCCGGCGGUCUACCAGGGCCACGGCGACGUCGACGUAUGGUCACCAGUUCUCGACGGGCCCAACGUGCCCUUCGCGCCGUACCUCGCCAGCGCCAUCUCCCAGGACUGCCAGGCUGGCUAUCUCAUCCUCCAGGUCAAGAUCGACGGCCGCGUCAGGUGGAAGGUCGGCAGCUGGAUCUCCGGCCACUACCACCUCUUCGUCACCUGCCCAGCCUUCCUCGUCACCAGCGGCGGCAACGGCGCACCAGGGGCUAGCGGGUUCAAGUUCCAGACGACCACUUACUGCCACGUAGAGGUCUAG